Molecule: ribosomal RNA, 502 nt
Filed under: uncultured bacterium
Lineage: Bacteria
Description: partial 16S ribosomal RNA
Rfam family: Bacterial small subunit ribosomal RNA
Source: RNAcentral
GACGAACGCUGGCGGCGUGCCUAAUACAUGCAAGUCGAACGAACCGCGACUAGGUGCUUGCACUUGGUCAAGGUGAGUGGCGAACGGGUGAGUAACACGUGGGUAACCUACCUCAUAGUGGGGGAUAACAGUCGGAAACGACUGCUAAUACCGCAUAGGACAUAGGAUCACAUGAUCCAGUGAGGAAAGGUGGCGCAAGCUAUCGCUAAGAGAUGGACCCGCGGUGCAUUAGCUAGUUGGUAGGGUAAAGGCCUACCAAGGCGAUGAUGCAUAGCCGACCUGAGAGGGUGAUCGGCCACAUUGGGACUGAGACACGGCCCAAACUCCUACGGGAGGCAGCAGUAGGGAAUCUUCCGCAAUGGACGCAAGUCUGACGGAGCAACGCCGCGUGAGUGAAGAAGGUCUUCGGAUCGUAAAGCUCUGUUGUUAGAGAGGAACAGCGCAUAGAGUAACUGUUAUGCGUGUGACGGUAUCUAACCAGAAAGCCACGGCUAACUACGUG